Physcomitrium patens is the source of this 1751-nucleotide non-coding RNA. NCBI's taxonomy places the organism in Eukaryota, Viridiplantae, Streptophyta, Bryopsida, Funariales, Funariaceae. The record is from RefSeq and is a predicted model, not a curated record.
ACUGCUGUAGUUGCUGUUGUUGAGAAAUCGUUUCAGCUAGGAUUUAGGGUUUAGUGCAGCGGCCGUGGUGAACCCGGCCGUCCUUUGACUGCAGAGUCGAAAUUUUGCACUACUCUCUUCCGAUCAGUCACUGUGUCGCACUUGUGUUUCGAUCUUUCUGUUGUUAGUAGUGCUUUUCUUCUAUUCUGAGAUUGUAAGCAUAGAAAGUAGUCAUGGCGGACGCAUCCUCAGGUGAACAUGAGCCGGAGUUGCCGCCUCACUUGGAGCUUCAGCGCACUAGAGUUGUGUGUGCCCCCGACGCACCUUCUUAUACAGAAUCUGUGCAGUAUUCCGGGGCAUAUAUGGCAUAUGGCGUGGACAACAGCUUACGGAUUGAGGAUUUCUGCAAGAACCUGCGAGUGGAAAUCAUUUCCAUGAAUGAGGAGGAUAUUGAGUUUGAUAUAGUCGGGAUUGAUGCCGCCAUUGCCAAUGCAUUCCGGAGAAUUCUUAUUGCUGAGGUCCCUACGAUGGCAAUUGAGAAGGUUUACAUUGCAAAUAACACAUCCGUUAUUCAAGACGAGGUUCUUGCUCAUCGUCUUGGGUUGCUACCAAUCAAGGCGGACCCACGGCUUUUCGAUUACAAGAGUGAAGAGGAGAAUGCUAAUGAGAAAAACACAAUAGUCUUUAAGAUUGAUGUUGUGUGCACUCGAAAAGGGGAGCGAGUUCUCAAUAGUUCAGUGACGUCGGAUCAGAUGAAAUGGUUGCCUGAAGGUAGUGAAAUGCCCUUCAAUACCAUGACAAAAUUUACCUCAUUUGGGUCUAGUCAAAAAAACUUGCCUGGAUUACCUGCGGAAGGCAUUUCUUGUCAGUACCCUGAUAUUAUCGUGGCCAAACUCAGGCCAGGCCAGGCCAUAGAGCUUGAAGGGCAUGCAAUAAAAGGUUCUGGCAAUAUUCAUGCAAAGUGGUCGCCUGUUGCUACUGCCCGAUACAGGAUGCUUCCAGAGGUAAACCUAAUGGAAGACAUUCAAGGAAAGCUUGCUGAAGAACUUGUUCAGAAAUGUCCUACUGGAGUUUUCGACAUUGAAGAUGUUGGUACAGACUCUGUUAAUUGUCUUUUGCAGUCAAGAAGGCCAUUGUGGCAAGACCAAGGAACUGCACGCUGUGUCGCGAGUGUGUAAGGGGAACUGAUUGGGAUAAGCGAGUGCAACUUACUCGAGUUAAAGACCAUUUUAUAUUUACUAUUGAAUCCACUGGAGCACUACGACCUGAGGUUCUUUUCACAGAGGCUAUCAAAAUCCUCAAUGAAAAAUGUCACAGGAUUAUUACAGAACUUUCAUAGAACUUUUACUGUAGCCUAUAGGUCUCAUCUUUUGGAUCUUAUCCUCAGGCUUCAGUCUGGAAAUCCUGGAGAGUAACGACAGCGCAGUCAAUGCAUUUGAGAUGUGGAUUUUGCCAGACACCAUGUACGCUUGAAUUUGGGAAGACAGGUGAAUUGUUCAUAGUAAGACCUCUAAACAAGAACUGGAGAUCUACAUUCAAGUGAACUUGAGACAUCUGAUAUUUCUGUUGUAAUCUCUACCUCACUAGGAAGGUUACGAAAGCACCAUUGAGUUGGAGCCAACAAUAGAUGUAGACAUAGAAUGCUUUACUUCUCAACCAUAUGCAAGGUUUGUUGAAGAAUCCGGCUAUAGUCUUUGUUUGUUGCUGGUAUGAUUUUUGACCUGUCAUUGAGUGAAUUCAUUUAUCAUCUAAAUGAACAUCCUGUUGCUAUC